RNAcentral lists this ribosomal RNA (465 nucleotides) under uncultured bacterium. Its description in RNAcentral is "partial 16S ribosomal RNA". It matches the Rfam family "Bacterial small subunit ribosomal RNA", at positions 28 to 507 of the family's 1533-position model. The record is from RNAcentral.
GACGAACGCUGGCGGCGUGCUUAACACAUGCCAGUCGAACGGAAAGGCCCCUUUGGGGGUACUCGAGUGGCGAACGGGUGAGUAACACGUGAGUAACCUGCCCUUGACUUCGGGAUAACUUCAGGAAACUGGGGCUAAUACCGGAUAGGAAUCCUUGCUGCAUGGUGGGGGUUGGAAAGCUUCGGCGGUUUUGGAUGGACUCGCGGCUUAUCAGCUUGUUGGUGGGGUAGUGGCUUACCAAGGCUUUGACGGGUAGCCGGCCUGAGAGGGCGACCGGCCACAUUGGGACUGAGAUACGGCCCAGACUCCUACGGGAGGCAGCAGUGGGGAAUAUUGCACAAUGGGCGGAAGCCUGAUGCAGCAACGCCGCGUGCGGGAUGACGGCCUUCGGGUUGUAAACCGCUUUCAGCAGGGGCGAAGCUUGCGGUGACGGUACCUGCAGAAGAAGCACCGGCUAACUACGUG